ACGAACGCUGGCGGCGUGCUUAACACAUGCAAGUCGAACGGAAAGGCCCUGCUUUUGUGGGGUGCUCGAGUGGCGAACGGGUGAGUAACACGUGAGUAACCUGCCCUUGACUUUGGGAUAACUUCAGGAAACUGGGGCUAAUACCGGAUAGGAGCUCCUGCUGCAUGGUGGGGGUUGGAAAGUUUCGGCGGUUGGGGAUGGACUCGCGGCUUAUCAGCUUGUUGGUGGGGUAGUGGCUUACCAAGGCUUUGACGGGUAGCCGGCCUGAGAGGGUGACCGGCCAAAUUGGGAAUGAGAUACGGCCCAGACUCCUAAGGGAGGCAGGAGGGGGGAAAAAUGCAAAAAGGGCGGAAGGCUUAAUCAGCAACGGCGGGGGCGGGAUGAAGGCCUUCGGGUUUGAAACCGCUUUCGCCUGUGACGAAGCGUGAGUGACGGUAAUGGGUAAAGAAGCACCGGCUAACUACGUG
This 467-nucleotide ribosomal RNA is filed under the name uncultured bacterium. Its description in RNAcentral is "partial 16S ribosomal RNA". It matches the Rfam family "Bacterial small subunit ribosomal RNA", at positions 29 to 507 of the family's 1533-position model. The record is from RNAcentral.